CCAAACGCUUCUGUCAAACAGGUUUCACAAGCCAAAAGAAAGCUGCUAGUUGGAGCAGAAGAGCUCAUGUACUCCAGCAAUAUUGCAUUUCAAAUAGUAGCCACUAUAAGGCGGGAAGCAGCUGAAAGGGUCAUGAGGCAUGAUGCAGAAAAUGACACUGUGUCUCCUAAAGUUAUUGCAGAAAAGCUGGCUGCCUCUUUAAGCCAGUUGACAGAAACUAGCGGGUUUUCAAUCAGUGCUUGCAAUGGACACAUUAAUUUUUAUAC
Molecule: unclassified non-coding RNA, 266 nt
Filed under: Hevea brasiliensis (rubber tree)
Lineage: Eukaryota; Viridiplantae; Streptophyta; Magnoliopsida; Malpighiales; Euphorbiaceae
Source: RNAcentral